Acipenser ruthenus (sterlet) is the source of this 263-nucleotide long non-coding RNA. RefSeq lists it as uncharacterized. The record is from RefSeq and is a predicted model, not a curated record. NCBI's taxonomy places the organism in Eukaryota, Metazoa, Chordata, Actinopteri, Acipenseriformes, Acipenseridae. The transcript has 3 exons.
CCCUGCUACAGGAAGUCAGUACCCAGGGAAGUCAAUAAAAGCUUCCCUCACCAACAUGGCUGGUUCCCCACUUCCUGUCAAGAUGGAGGACCAUACCACCACACCCAACUCAGGACACUCCCAACCACAGGCCUCCAGUCCCGAUACACCAGAAGCGGCAGUGGUAUCAAUCCCCUCUGAAGCCCGGGACAGACAGACGCGGUGAGGCAUUUUGCCAUCUGUAUCGCUGCUACUGCUUUCAUAUGGUGUUUGACAGAUCAGCG